Molecule: ribosomal RNA, 468 nt
Filed under: uncultured bacterium
Lineage: Bacteria
Description: partial 16S ribosomal RNA
Rfam family: Bacterial small subunit ribosomal RNA
Source: RNAcentral
GACGAACGCUGGCGGCGUGCUUAACACAUGCAAGUCGAACGGAAAGGCCCUGCUUUUGUGGGGUGCUCGAGUGGCGAACGGGUGAGUAACACGUGAGUAACCUGCCCUUGACUUUGGGAUAACUUCAGGAAACUGGGGCUAAUACCGGAUAGGAGCUCCUGCUGCAUGGUGGGGGUGGGAAAUUUUCGGCGGUUGGGGUUGGACUCGCGGCUUAUCAGCUUGUUGGUGGGGUAGUGGCUUACCAAGGCUUUGACGGGUAGCCGGCCUGAGAGGGUGACCGGCCACAUUGGGACUGAGAUACGGCCCAGACUCCUACGGGAGGCAGCAGUGGGGAAUAUUGCACAAUGGGCGGAAGCCUGAUGCAGCAACGCCGCGUGCGGGAUGACGGCCUUCGGGUUGUAAACCGCUUUCGCCUGUGACGAAGCGUGAGUGACGGUAAUGGGUAAAGAAGCACCGGCUAACUACGUG